UUCAAGUCCAUUAGCUAAAGCACAACCCUAAAUACAUAUAUAAAGGAAAAAUUAGUAAAUUAGGGUUUUCACAAAUAAUAAAAGCCGCUUCUUCCUCUUCUUUAAUUCAACGCUUCUUCUUUAUUUCUUCUUCAUGUUUCUAUCUUUCUACUUCAUUAUGGUUCGAUGUUGCUAUUUUGCUACGUACCAUCUAAAGAUACCCCUUUUUGCUAACUAUGAAGUCAGCAAAGAUUUCAAAGAAAAAGAAGAUCUUGGCAAAUCCACUGGUUUCUCUAUCCCACCGCCACCGCUUCACCUUAUCCCACCGCCAUUCCUCCGCUGUCUUUUAACUACAACGCAGCUCUUCUAAUUGAUGAAAUCCAGAUUGCUAAAGAAAAGGCACAAGGUUCUCUACUCAAUAGUGUUGAUAAUGGUCCUUCUUAUGAUUAUAGUGACAGAUCUAGUAUUUAGCUCAUCUGGUUUGUUCUUUCAAAGAGAAGAUGUAUUGAAAGCAACGAUGUUUGUCUAUUUUGGUUUAGGUUGAUAUUGUAGAUAUUUAAUUUUGGUUUGUAAUCUUAACCGAUUUGAUCCGGUUUGUAUUUAGAAUUCAUUACUAUUUUAAAAGAAAAAGAAUUGUAUUUUUGUUUAAUUAAUUUGAAAAAAAAAUUACAAAUUUUAA
Long non-coding RNA from Capsella rubella, 658 nucleotides. RefSeq lists it as uncharacterized. The transcript has 2 exons. Lineage: Eukaryota; Viridiplantae; Streptophyta; Magnoliopsida; Brassicales; Brassicaceae. The record is from RefSeq and is a predicted model, not a curated record.